CUCCAUGUUAGUCAGGCUGGUCUCAAUCUCCUGACCUCAAGUUAUGUGCCUGCCUCAGCCUCUCUGGGUGCUGGGAUUGGAACAGGAAUUAAAAGACAUUUAAAAAUGUGUAAGCAAAAACAGUUGUAUGUUAAAAAAAAAAAAAAAAAAAAAAAAACCAUUUCCCCCUGAGAAUGAGAAAGAGCUGGAGUCCUUUAAAAGAAACUGCCUGUUUUUCUAUGGCUAGUGAGCCUUAUCUCUUCUCCCUUCCCAGGCAUUAUAAAACUCUAAUUCCCUAACUGUGCAACUACAAGGUCACUAAACAAAUUGGUGCAUUUAAAACCCUUUAGCCACACAAGUUCUCCAAGUCCCCACCAGAUUAGCUAGAUACAGAGUGCUGAUUGAUACAUCCACAAACCCCAAGCUAGACACAGAGUGCUGACUGGUCCAUUUACAAUCCUUUAGCUAGACAUAAAAGUUCUCCAAGUCCCCACUAGAUUAGCUAGACAGAGUGCUGAUUGGUGCAUUUGCAAACCUUGAGCUAGA
RNAcentral lists this long non-coding RNA (525 nucleotides) under Homo sapiens (human). RNAcentral describes it as "non-protein coding lnc-FAN1-10:1". The record is from RNAcentral. Lineage: Eukaryota; Metazoa; Chordata; Mammalia; Primates; Hominidae.